Molecule: ribosomal RNA, 321 nt
Filed under: uncultured Pseudomonadota bacterium
Lineage: Bacteria; Pseudomonadati; Pseudomonadota
Description: bacterial SSU rRNA
Rfam family: Bacterial small subunit ribosomal RNA
Source: RNAcentral
AUUGAACGCUGGCGGCAUGCCUUACACAUGCAAGUCGAACGGCAGCACGGGAGCAAUCCUGGUGGCGAGUGGCGAACGGGUGAGUAAUAUAUCGGAACGUGCCCAGUCGUGGGGGAUAACGUAGCGAAAGCUACGCUAAUACCGCAUACGAUCUAUGGAUGAAAGCGGGGGAUCGCAAGACCUCGCGCGAUUGGAGCGGCCGAUAUCAGAUUAGGUUGUUGGUGGGGUAAAAGCCCACCAAGCCGACGAUCUGUAGCUGGUCUGAGAGGACGACCAGCCACACUGGGACUGAGACACGGCCCAGACUCCUACGGGAGGCUG